This 82-nucleotide non-coding RNA is filed under the name uncultured Selenomonas sp. RNAcentral's name for it is "ZMP/ZTP riboswitch". It matches the Rfam family "ZMP/ZTP riboswitch aptamer (pfl RNA motif)", at positions 6 to 81 of the family's 86-position model. Rfam says of the family: Previously known as pfl RNA. ZMP is also known as AICAR. The record is from RNAcentral. Lineage: Bacteria; Bacillati; Bacillota; Negativicutes; Selenomonadales; Selenomonadaceae.
CUUGCACGACUGACGGAAGUGGAGUUCACCACGGGGAGUGCAAGUGGCAGCGUUGCUGCAGGAGAGCCGACCGUCUGGGCAA